This 365-nucleotide RNase P RNA is filed under the name Armatimonadota bacterium. RNAcentral's name for it is "Armatimonadetes bacterium (rhizosphere metagenome) RNase P RNA component class A". It matches the Rfam family "Bacterial RNase P class A". Rfam says of the family: Ribonuclease P (RNase P) is a ubiquitous endoribonuclease, found in archaea, bacteria and eukarya as well as chloroplasts and mitochondria. The record is from RNAcentral. Lineage: Bacteria; Bacillati; Armatimonadota.
GAAGUCAUCCGGGUGGCCGCUGGGGUCGAGAGGCUCCAGAGGAAAGUCCGGACUCCAGAGGGCGACGAUGCCGGCUAACGGCCGGGCGGGGCGACCCGCCGGAAAGUGCCACAGAAACAUACCGCCGAGCGCCCACCGGCGCGGCAAGGGUGAAAUGGUGCGGUAAGAGCGCACCGGGGCGGCGGAGACGCCGCCGCCGGGUAAACCCCAUCGGGAGCAAGGCCAGGGGGGCGGACGAGGCCCGCGCCGUCGCCUGAAGGCGCGGGCGGACGCCCCCCGUCGCGCCGCUUGAGGCGUCGGGCAACCGGCGUCCCAGAGAGAUGGCCACACAGACACAGAAUCCGGCUUAAAGGGUGACUUCGCCC